UUUUUAGUGUAAGUAUGUCUCAUGAAAUAUUUGGGACACACUUAUACUUAAA
This 52-nucleotide microRNA precursor is filed under the name Homo sapiens (human). RNAcentral describes it as "mir-1302 microRNA precursor family". It matches the Rfam family "mir-1302 microRNA precursor family". Lineage: Eukaryota; Metazoa; Chordata; Mammalia; Primates; Hominidae. The record is from Rfam by way of RNAcentral.